RNAcentral lists this ribosomal RNA (254 nucleotides) under uncultured bacterium. RNAcentral describes it as "partial 16S ribosomal RNA". It matches the Rfam family "Bacterial small subunit ribosomal RNA", at positions 524 to 776 of the family's 1533-position model. The record is from RNAcentral.
UACGUAGGGGGCAAGCGUUGUCCGGAUUUAUUGGGCGUAAAGAGCUCGUAGGUGGUUCGGUAAGUCGGAUGUGAAAUCUCCAGGCUCAACCUGGAGGGGUCAUUCGAUACUGGCGUGACUAGAGGUCGGUAGGGGAGUGUGGAAUUCCUGGUGGAGCGGUGAAAUGCGCAGAUAUCAGGAGGAACACCAGUGGCGAAGGCGGCGAUCUGGGAAGAUACUGACGCUGAGGUGCGAAAGCGUGGGGAGCAAACAGG